RNAcentral lists this transfer RNA (71 nucleotides) under Brochis multiradiatus (hognosed brochis). RNAcentral's name for it is "tRNA-Asp". It matches the Rfam family "tRNA". From Rfam's summary of the family: Transfer RNA (tRNA) molecules are approximately 80 nucleotides in length. Their secondary structure includes four short double-helical elements and three loops (D, anti-codon, and T loops). The record is from RNAcentral. Lineage: Eukaryota; Metazoa; Chordata; Actinopteri; Siluriformes; Callichthyidae.
AAGACGCUAGUAAAAUCAAUUACACUGCCUUGUCGAGGCAGAAUUGUGGGUUAAACCCCCGCGCAUCUUAU